CCUACGGGGGGCAGCAGUGAGGAAUAUUGGUCAAUGGACGAGAGUCUGAACCAGCCAAGUAGCGUGAAGGAUGACUGCCCUAUGGGUUGUAAACUUCUUUUAUAUGGGAAUAAAAUGUUCCACGUGUGGGAUUUUGUAUGUACCAUAUGAAUAAGGAUCGGCUAACUCCGUGCCAGCAGCCGCGGUAAUACGGAGGAUCCGAGCGUUAUCCGGAUUUAUUGGGUUUAAAGGGAGCGUAGGUGGAUUGUUAAGUCAGUUGUGAAAGUUUGCGGCUCAACCGUAAAAUUGCAGUUGAAACUGGCAGUCUUGAGUACAGUAGAGGUGGGCGGAAUUCGCGGUGUAGCGGUGAAAUGCUUAGAUAUCACGAAGAACUCCGAUUGCGAAGGCAGUUCACUGGACUGCAACUGACACUGAGGCUCGAAAGUGUGGGUAUCAAACAGGAUUAGAUACCCCUGUAGUC
Molecule: ribosomal RNA, 460 nt
Filed under: uncultured bacterium
Lineage: Bacteria
Description: partial 16S ribosomal RNA
Rfam family: Bacterial small subunit ribosomal RNA
Source: RNAcentral